This 395-nucleotide ribosomal RNA is filed under the name uncultured bacterium. Its description in RNAcentral is "partial 16S ribosomal RNA". It matches the Rfam family "Bacterial small subunit ribosomal RNA", at positions 523 to 918 of the family's 1533-position model. The record is from RNAcentral.
AUACGUAGGGUGCAAGCGUUAAUCGGAAUUACUGGGCGUAAAGCGUGCGCAGGCGGUUUUGUAAGACAGUGGUGAAAUCCCCGGGCUCAACCUGGGAACUGCCAUUGUGACUGCAAGGCUGGAGUGCGGCAGAGGGGGAUGGAAUUCCGCGUGUAGCAGUGAAAUGCGUAGAUAUGCGGAGGAACACCGAUGGCGAAGGCAAUCCCCUGGGCCUGCACUGACGCUCAUGCACGAAAGCGUGGGGAGCAAACAGGAUUAGAUACCCUGGUAGUCCACGCCCUAAACGAUGUCAACUGGUUGUUGGGGAUUUAUUUUCUCAGUAACGAAGCUAACGCGUGAAGUUGACCGCCCGGGGAGUACGGCCGCAAGGUUAAAACUCAAAUGAAUUGACGGGG